Molecule: ribosomal RNA, 253 nt
Filed under: uncultured bacterium
Lineage: Bacteria
Description: partial 16S ribosomal RNA
Rfam family: Bacterial small subunit ribosomal RNA
Source: RNAcentral
UACGUAGGGGGCGAGCGUUGUCCGGAGUUACUGGGCGUAAAGCGCUUGUAGGCGGUCCACCAAGUUUGGGGUGACAGUUGCCGACUUAAUCGGCAAAGUGCCUCAAAGACUGGCGGACUUGAGGGCCACAGAGGGACAUGGAACUCCAGGUGUAGUGGUGAAAUGCGUAGAGAUGUGGAGGAAUACCGAUGGCGAAGGCAGCCUCCUGGGCCAACACUGACGCUCAUGCACGAAAGCGUGGGGAGCAAACAGG